GUGUCCAAUGUGAAGUGUAGCUGGUAGAGUCUGGGGGAGGCUUGGUACAGCUUGGGGGGUCCAUGUGACUCUCCUGUGCAGCCUCUGGAUACACUUUCAGUAACUAUGGCAUGCACUAGGUGGACCAAGCUCCAGGGAAGGGACUGGAGUGGGUCUUACAUUAAUGCUAGUGGUGGAGGCAUAUACUACUCAGACUCUGUGAAGGGCCGGUUGACCAUCUCCAGAGAAAACACCAAGAACUCACUGUAUCUGCAAAUAAACAGUUUCAUUGCUGACACCAUGGCCGUCUAUUACU
RNAcentral lists this long non-coding RNA (295 nucleotides) under Homo sapiens (human). Its description in RNAcentral is "non-protein coding lnc-BRF1-73:1". The record is from RNAcentral. Lineage: Eukaryota; Metazoa; Chordata; Mammalia; Primates; Hominidae.